This 73-nucleotide transfer RNA is filed under the name Ailuropoda melanoleuca (giant panda). It matches the Rfam family "tRNA". Rfam says of the family: Transfer RNA (tRNA) molecules are approximately 80 nucleotides in length. Their secondary structure includes four short double-helical elements and three loops (D, anti-codon, and T loops). Further hydrogen bonds mediate the characteristic L-shaped molecular structure. tRNAs have two regions of fundamental functional importance: the anti-codon, which is responsible for specific mRNA codon recognition, and the 3' end, to which the tRNAs corresponding amino acid is attached (by aminoacyl-tRNA synthetases). tRNAs cope with the degeneracy of the genetic code in two manners: having more than one tRNA (with a specific anti-codon) for a particular amino acid; and 'wobble' base-pairing, i.e. permitting non-standard base-pairing at the 3rd anti-codon position. Lineage: Eukaryota; Metazoa; Chordata; Mammalia; Carnivora; Ursidae. The record is from Rfam by way of RNAcentral.
GCCUGGCUGGCUCAGUUAGAAGAGCAUGUGAUUCUAGAUCUCAGGGUCGUGAGUUCGAGUCGCAUGUUGGGCA